RNAcentral lists this long non-coding RNA (406 nucleotides) under Ananas comosus (pineapple). Its description in RNAcentral is "long non-coding RNA (ACOM_LNC013877)". Lineage: Eukaryota; Viridiplantae; Streptophyta; Magnoliopsida; Poales; Bromeliaceae. The record is from RNAcentral.
AUACCAAGAAUAUAAAAUAUAGGAAAAAUUUCAAAUACCGUCCCCUAUGAUUUCACACUUUCUUACUUUUAUACCCUAUAUUAAUUUUUUCGUUAAAUCAGUAACAAAGUUAAAACCACAGGGUAGGGUACUAAAGUAAAAAUUCGGUAAACCACAAGGCAUUAGAAUAAAUCAUAGGUGGGGUAUUUAAAAUUUUUUAUAUAUGAUUUAACGGAGAAUUAAUGGAGGUAUUGACGGAAAGAGAAAAAUAAAAUCAUAGGAUAUUAAAAUGAUAUAUUUUAAACUAUAAAAUAAUAAAGUGAGAAAACACGAAAUCACUUCUGAUAUUAAAAUAAUAUAUUUUAAACUAUAAAAUAAUAAAGUGAAAAAACGCGAAAUCAUAGAAAUGUGGUAUUUUGUAGAAGUU